Cyprinodon tularosa is the source of this 349-nucleotide long non-coding RNA. RefSeq lists it as uncharacterized. The transcript has 3 exons. The record is from RefSeq and is a predicted model, not a curated record. Lineage: Eukaryota; Metazoa; Chordata; Actinopteri; Cyprinodontiformes; Cyprinodontidae.
GGAAUGCUGACAGAAGAACCAGCUGACUCUGACGUGAUGUUCAUCUCCUCCAAAGGCUCAAUCAGUCACCUUGGCGACAGGAAGCAGAGAGAAACAGGAAGCAAGAUGGCAGCGGAGGCGAAUGACAGAAAUGGAAAAAAAAACUGGAGAGAUAGAGCUUCAAGGUGUAGACACAGAGGAAAUCUUUAACAACUGAAAGCACAGGUCGGGCUUCCCACUGAUGCCUCGGUUGCAAAGUCUCUACUCAACAGAUCGGAACACCUGACUGGGCUGCGGACUCUUGGAUUCCAGAACUUUUCUUGUCUGAUCUGUAUCCCUGACCUGGAUCGGAUCCCUAGCUGCUCACUGA